RNAcentral lists this ribosomal RNA (253 nucleotides) under uncultured bacterium. RNAcentral's name for it is "partial 16S ribosomal RNA". It matches the Rfam family "Bacterial small subunit ribosomal RNA", at positions 524 to 776 of the family's 1533-position model. The record is from RNAcentral.
UACAGAGGUCCCAAGCGUUGUUCGGAUUCACUGGGCGUAAAGGGCGCGUAGGUGGUGGGGUAAGUCGGAUGUGAAAGCUCGGAGCUCAACUCCGAAACGGCAUUGGAAACUACCCUGCUAGAGGAUUGGAGGGGGGACUGGAAUACUUGGUGUAGCAGUGAAAUUCGUAGAUAUCAAGCGGAACACCGGUGGCGAAGGCGGCCUUCUGGACAGUGACUGACGCUGAGACGCGAAAGCGUGGGGAGCAAACAGG